GUCCAAAUAGUAUUUAAAUUCUAAAUUUUAAAUAUUAACUAUUUCGAUGGGGGCAUCUAAAAAUUGCUUUGAGGGCGCCAAAGUGCCUGCAGGCACCUCGUUGCUGACCCCUGGAUUACAGAAAACAGUUUAACUCACAGGGUGUUAUAGUGAUUGGGGACAUAACUUUAACCUAUUAUGUAGAAGAACUCUUAGUAAAAAGUCUUUUGUAUGCUAUUCAGUAUACCAACAAUAUUGAAAAUGUUAUACCCAACAUUGAUCAGUUAUGCAACCAUUUGAUGAUGAUGAUGAUAAAAAUAGAAUUAGGUAGAGAAUGAUCAAAGAAAGUAACACACAGUCAGUUAAAUAGAAAAUGCCCAGAAUAUUAUAGGAAAAAAGCUUUCAUAGAUAGAAUGAUUAAAUGGUUCCAGGAGCAAUAUAUUAUCAUAACUAGGGAAGAUAAAAUAAAAAAACUGGCCAUUAUUAGAUGUGAAAAUAACAAGAAAUUACUUUUGUUUAUCAAUGACUGGGGCCUUUGCUGCAGCAUGUCACAACAGUCUUUAACAUCCAAAGUGGAUUGGCUUCUAAAAUAUAAAAGUUUUACACUUGAGGGUUUUCCUGCACUCAAGGGAAAUAUAGUUCGUAACUGUAAUUGUUCCUAGUUCAUUUGAUUUAUAAAAUCAUAGAAACUCCGUGGGAAUUUGUGUGUGACUGAAACAUGUCACUCUCCACUUACUAAAAUCAAAAUACUCUAUCUUAAUCUAUAUUAUUAGAUUAACCCAUUGAAGUCCAUCAAUAUUUACAAAAUAAACCUAAUUAAUUAGC
Molecule: long non-coding RNA, 804 nt
Filed under: Androctonus crassicauda
Lineage: Eukaryota; Metazoa; Arthropoda; Arachnida; Scorpiones; Buthidae
Source: RNAcentral